UGGCUGAGUUGGUAGAGCAUGGCACUUGCAUCGCCACGGUUGUGGGUUUGAUUCCCAU
Molecule: transfer RNA, 58 nt
Filed under: Salmo salar (Atlantic salmon)
Lineage: Eukaryota; Metazoa; Chordata; Actinopteri; Salmoniformes; Salmonidae
Rfam family: tRNA
About the family: Transfer RNA (tRNA) molecules are approximately 80 nucleotides in length.
Source: Rfam by way of RNAcentral